Molecule: ribosomal RNA, 468 nt
Filed under: uncultured bacterium
Lineage: Bacteria
Description: partial 16S ribosomal RNA
Rfam family: Bacterial small subunit ribosomal RNA
Source: RNAcentral
GACGAACGCUGGCGGCGUGCUUAACACAUGCAAGUCGAACGGAAAGGCCCUGCUUUUGUGGGGUGCUCGAGUGGCGAACGGGUGAGUAACACGUGAGUAACCUGCCCUUGACUUUGGGAUAACUUCAGGAAACUGGGGCUAAUACCGGAUAGGAGCUCCUGCUGCAUGGUGGGGGUUGGAAAGUUUCGGCGGUUGGGGAUGGACUCGCGGCUUAUCAGCUUGUUGGUGGGGUAGUGGCUUACCAAGGCUUUGACGGGUAGCCGGCCUGAGAGGGUGACCGGCCACAUUGGGACUGAGAUACGGCCCAGACUCCUACGGGAGGAAGCAGUGGGGAAUAUUGCACAAUGGGCGGAAGCCUGAUGCAGCAACGCCGCGUGCGGGAUGACGGCCUUAGGGUUGUAAACCGCUUUCGCCUGUGACGAAGCGUGAGUGACGGUAAUGGGUAAAGAAGAACCGGCUAACUACGUG